Molecule: ribosomal RNA, 754 nt
Filed under: Staphylococcus sp. X15-CRBM-E14
Lineage: Bacteria; Bacillati; Bacillota; Bacilli; Caryophanales; Staphylococcaceae
Description: bacterial SSU rRNA
Rfam family: Bacterial small subunit ribosomal RNA
Source: RNAcentral
UGCAGUCGAGCGACGGAUAAGGAGCUUGCUCCUUUGAAGUUAGCGGCGGACGGGUGAGUAACACGUGGGUAACCUACCUAUAAGACUGGAAUAACUUCGGGAAACCGGAGCUAAUGCCGGAUAACAUUUGGAACCGCAUGGUUCUAAAGUAAAAGAUGGUUUUGCUAUCACUUAUAGAUGGACCCGCGCCGUAUUAGCUAGUUGGUAAGGUAACGGCUUACCAAGGCAACGAUACGUAGCCGACCUGAGAGGGUGAUCGGCCACACUGGAACUGAGACACGGUCCAGACUCCUACGGGAGGCAGCAGUAGGGAAUCUUCCGCAAUGGACGAAAGUCUGACGGAGCAACGCCGCGUGAGUGAUGAAGGUUUUCGGAUCGUAAAACUCUGUUAUUAGGGAAGAACAAAUGUGUAAGUAACUGUGCACAUCUUGACGGUACCUAAUCAGAAAGCCACGGCUAACUACGUGCCAGCAGCCGCGGUAAUACGUAGGUGGCAAGCGUUAUCCGGAAUUAUUGGGCGUAAAGCGCGCGUAGGCGGUUUCUUAAGUCUGAUGUGAAAGCCCACGGCUCAACCGUGGAGGGUCAUUGGAAACUGGGAAACUUGAGUACAGAAGAGGAAAGUGGAAUUCCAUGUGUAGCGGUGAAAUGCGCAGAGAUAUGGAGGAACACCAGUGGCGAAGGCGACUUUCUGGUCUGUAACUGACGCUGAUGUGCGAAAGCGUGGGGAUCAAACAGGAUUAGAUACCCUGGUAGU